Molecule: non-coding RNA, 317 nt
Organism: Pelobates cultripes (western spadefoot toad)
Lineage: Eukaryota; Metazoa; Chordata; Amphibia; Anura; Pelobatidae
Source: the annotation of a GenBank genome assembly
GUGCAGCUCAUGACCCUCGUGGUGGGGACGGCUAGCCGGGAGAUGGGGGGCUGUUCCCAGGACGAGAGGGGACAGGGCAGGGUUUCUACGGCCAGCCUACCCAGGAUGUCUUCUCCUUCCAGGUUUCGAGGACGGUCACCCUCGGAGAGGGAGAGACCCCACGCGACAAGGACAGCAGGACGGUCGCCGGCAUGCAAGGCGGACCCGGUUACAGGACAGGCGUCUUCCAGGUCCCCCGCGGAUCGGGUGAGACCCAGUGCAUCAGGAGCACGGCCCGGAGCAGCGGGACGCUUGGGGCAGGAGAUCUGCGGUCGGUC